Long non-coding RNA from Corythoichthys intestinalis (scribbled pipefish), 2132 nucleotides. RefSeq lists it as uncharacterized. The record is from RefSeq and is a predicted model, not a curated record. NCBI's taxonomy places the organism in Eukaryota, Metazoa, Chordata, Actinopteri, Syngnathiformes, Syngnathidae. The transcript is spliced from 2 exons.
UGGCCCCCCAUCAGACGCAAAUUUAUAUAAAAAUUAUGUCAAUCGUUUGUGCUAUGAUUGUGCUGGUUUGUGCUGCAAAAAGUUUCGUUUGUGCCACCAUCGUUUUGCAGUUAUUAAACAUUGUUUUUUAGGUCAUCCAGAGUUCACCCAGCCCCCCAUCUGUGGCAGAAUGGAACCCCGGUGGUGUCAUUUGAUUCUGCCUCUUUAGUGCUGGAUUGUGCUGAAAAAAGUUUUGUUUGAACUGCUACGGUUUUCGAGAUAUUCAUAAAAAUGUACAUUGAUGACGUCACGCGCAGCCCCCCAUCAGACGCAAAUUUAUAUAAAAAUUAUGUCAAUCGUUUGUGCUAUGAUUGUGCUGGUUUGUGCUGCAAAAAGUUUCGUUUGUGCCAUCAUCGUUUUGCAGUUAUUAAACAUUGUUUUUUAGGUCAUCCAGAGUUCACCCAGCCCCCCAUCUGUGGCGGAAUGGAACCCCGGUGGUGUCAUUUGAUUCUGCCUCGUUAGUGCUGGAUUGUGCUGAAAAAAGAUUUGUUUGAACUGCUACGGUUUUCGAGAUAUUCAUAAAAAUGUAUAGUGAUGACGUCACUCGCAGCCCCCCAUCAGACGCAAAUUUAUAUAAAAAUUAUGUCAAUCGUUUGUGCUAUGAUUGUGCUGGUUUGUGCUGCAAAAAGUUUCGUUUGUGCCAUCAUCAUUUUGCAGUUAUUAAACAUUGUUUUUUUAGGUCAUCCAGAGUUCACCCAGCCCCCCAUCUGUGGCGGAAUGGAACCCCAGUGGUGUCAUUUGAUUCUGCCUCGUUAGUGCUGGAUUGUGCUGCAAAAAGUUUUGUUUGAACUGCUACGGUUUUCGAGAUAUUCAUAAAAAUGUCUAGUGAUGACGUCACGCGCAGCACCCCAUCUGCGGCGGAAUGGAACGGCGAUGAUGCCAUUUUUUUCUUCGUCGUUAGUGCUGGAUUGUGCUGCAAAAAGUUUUGUUUGAACUGCUACGGUUUUCGAGAUAUUCAUAAAAAUGUCUAGUGAUGACGUCACGCGCAGCCCCCCAUCUGCGGCGGAAUGGAACGGUGAUGAUGCCAUUUUUUUCUUCGUCGUUAGUGCUGGAUUGUGCUGCAAAAAGUUUUGUUUGAACUGCUACGGUUUUCGAGAUAUUCAUAAAAAUGUCUAGUGAUGACGUCACGCGCAGCCCCCCAUCUGCGGCGGAAUGGAACGGCGAUGAUGCCAUUUUUUUCUUCGUCGUUAGUGCUGGAUUGUGCUGCAAAAAGUUUUGUUUGAACUGCUACGGUUUUCGAGAUAUUCAUAAUAAUGUAAAGUGAUGACCUGUUUUCAGCGCUGCGGGCCGCACAAUCGGUUCUUGUCUCGUGACGUUUCUGGCGCAAUGCAUUGUGGGUUUUCGUGUAUUGUACAACAACAACAAGCCCGUUACGCGAUCCUUUGCUCGGCAUCCAUUCUGCGUGGUAAUCGUUGAAAAUGGUACACUCGUGUUGUUUGAAAGACUGCCAUUCUAGGUCCCAUGAUAGAAACGAAUGCAAAAAGGAUGGGAUACGUUUUUUUUUUUAGCAUUCCCGCCUGGAAGAGAAAAUAUGGAACUCCGAUGAGUUGACCAAGAGGCUUGAAUGGUUGCAGCGGUGAGAAGAAAGGCCAUCGCUUUUCAUUCAUCAACUGAAAACAUGUCGGUCUGUUCCCUACAUUUCCAUAAAGGAAAACCAGCAUAUGAAAGAAAUGAGGCAGACCCUGACUGGGCACCAUCCUUACGCCUGGGACACACAUGUGUUCAACCCACCAACGUGGACCGCUCUUCUAGACGAAGUAGGCAUGAGAAAUUGAGGAUGGAGGAGGACGUUGGUGCGCUACAGGAGGAGCCUUCAGCGCCCUUCAGAUGCUCCUUCUGACCUUCAUGCGCCUGCGUUAGGACCUGUCUGCACUACACAGUGCACACAUAUUCCAUGUUUCCCGUAAGACUGUGUACUGAGUGUUCAAUGACAUGGUGCCCUUUGUACAUGCUAAUUUGAGACGAGCAAUUGUUUGGCCCAACAGAGAAACACUCUAUAAAACAAUGCCUCACGAGUUUGUUGAGUCCUUCAGACGCAGAGUUGCAGUGAUUAUUGAUUUAAAAAAAAAAAAAAAAAAAAAAUUACAGAGAAA